AGGAGCAGGCUCUGCUUUCGCCGUCAGCGCGCCGCCGGGCGGGAGCGGUGUGAAAACGUCUCCGAAAACGUGCGCUUUGUACAGCUGCUGUUCAGGAGCUGUGUGUGCUCCCUUGUCAGAAUAUUGAAGGAUGCGUCCCUCUGUGCUUCGGGCGAGGCUUUGGAGUAAAACACGUUUAUUCAGUGGAACAUUCACAAAAGUGGCUUGAAGGUGUCUGAGUAUGAUCUUCCCAGCGAAGCUACAGGUCCUUUUGUUCUGUCCGGGUACAGUGGCUACAAGCAAGUCCAGUUCCCACGAGGAAGGCUUUUUGCUUUUGACUCUGAGGGCAACUAUAUGUUGACGUGUUCUUCUACUGGGGGAGUAAUUUUUAAGUGAAAUGGCGAGGAGAAGGUUCUGGAGAGCUGCCUUUCCCUGGGAGGACACUGAGCUCCUGUUGUCACGGUGGACUGGAGCACAGCCAUGGACUGCGGGACCUGCCUCACUGCCUCUAUGGAUGGGAAGAUUAAAUUAACAACAUUACUGGCUCAAAAGUCUUAACCUGGACAGUGCUGAAGGGAAGGAGCAACAGACUUGGUGAAAACAGUGUUAACUCGACAGGAACAAACUGUAUGGGAGAGAAGGCAAACCACAGUCCCUCUUCUCAUUGUAGCUUUUGCCUCUUGACAAACGUUAAACACAUUUGACAAACCACUGUGCAAUAGAAAGCCGGUAUGGGACCGGAGCAGUGGCAGCACUGACAAAUAAGUCUCCACUGACCUGUUGUGGCAGCUUGACCCCUCUGUUAGGGAGUGUUGAGGUAGCACGUGGCUAGAAGGCUGCUGGGAUCACGUCAGGGGUUCUGCAGAAGAAGGUGAGGCUAGAGAAGACGUGCAUGAGGCAGCACAGUGCAUGCUGAUAACAUGGCUAAAAAUGGAAAGGCCAGUGCGAAAACAGAGUAUUCUGUCAGUACAGCAUUUGUUGUAGUGCUUUUUUUUUUCCCCAUUCUGCGUGGUUUUUGGGGUUUUUUUUGUUUGGUUGGUUGGUUUUUCAUAAAAAGAAAAUAUUCCCUUGCAACUUGAUUUCUGUGCUCUGUUCAGUUGCUGCUGCAAAACAUGGAGGGUGGCUGGGGCAAUGAUGUGCCAAGAAAGUGUCCUGCCUGGAGAAAAGACCCUUGUGCUUUCACCAGGCGCUUCCGGCACUGACACCCGCACCCUGGGGAGAACCAGUGCAGGACAUCCAGGAACAAAAUGAAUCGCAUUCCUUCAGACGUAUUGUGUUCCCUUGCGAUACCUGCUACCAACUAAAGGAGAGAUCCUGAGUCAGACUUUUUGAAAUGCUUGCGUUGGAGUUCAGAAGCUACAUAAUGCCUAGCAGCUACCUGAUGGCGGAUAGGAGGAGGGAGGGCCGGAGCCAGUCUGGUCUGGUAUAGUGCUGUCUGUACUGGAGCUGUCUCUCCCCCUGCAUUCCCCCAACAUCAGGGCAAGUGCUGUGCUCAGGUAUUGCGUAGUCUUUGGAUGGACUGCAAAGCAGCCAGAUUUCAUCUGCUUACACAUCACCACGGAGCUUACUGCUGCUUCUGUCCUUGGCCUUUGUUGGGAGUUUACAGUACUGUU
Grus americana (Whooping crane) is the source of this 1592-nucleotide long non-coding RNA. RefSeq lists it as uncharacterized. The record is from RefSeq and is a predicted model, not a curated record. The transcript has 3 exons. Lineage: Eukaryota; Metazoa; Chordata; Aves; Gruiformes; Gruidae.